Molecule: ribosomal RNA, 253 nt
Filed under: uncultured bacterium
Lineage: Bacteria
Description: partial 16S ribosomal RNA
Rfam family: Bacterial small subunit ribosomal RNA
Source: RNAcentral
UACGAAGGGGGCUAGCGUUGUUCGGAAUUACUGGGCGUAAAGCGCGUGUAGGCGGGGCUUUAAGUCAGGGGGGAAAUGCCAAGGCUCAACCUUGGAACUGCCUUUGAUACUGGAGACCUUGAGUCCGGGAGAGGUGAGUGGAAUUGCGAGUGUAGAGGUGAAAUUCGUAGAUAUUCGCAAGAACACCAGUGGCGAAGGCGGCUCACUGGCCCGGAACUGACGCUGAGACGCGAAAGCGUGGGGAGCAAACAGG